UCCAUCCUUCCAAAGCCUGGAAUGGAAGUCUGGCUGGGUGGGGAGAUCGGAAAGGCAACUCCCUGCCUCCCGGUGUGAACUCAGGCCGGCCCCGGAAAGCCUCCAGCUGGGUCACGGUUUUGUAGGCAGAGCAGCACUAUAGGGGCAGGUGGAAGACCCCACACUCCAAAUGCAGCUACUAAGCUGGAGGGACCCCAGAGUUCAUUGGGCCCAGGAGUUCUCCACCUCGAAUCACCAGGCGCUUGUUAGAAACGCAGAGUCCUGGGCCCAGCCCCAGGGACGGUUUUGAUGGAGCCCAGGAAUCAUAUUUUUCACGAGCUUCUUGAAGGACUGGAUGCGGUGGUUCAUAGCUGCACUUUGAGAAAUCAGACCCGGUCUAACUCCAGCAUGUUCCUUCCUCCUCCCAGGCUUAUUUAGGGGGAAGUGGUGCUGAGUCUGAGGAUGGGAGGAAGGGAGGAGACGCAGCAGAUACACUCAGACCGGUCGUCUGAGCCCUGCCUGGCUCCGGUGAGACCCAGCGGCUGCACGCCCUGCCGAGGGAUGCUGCAGCGUAGGUCCCGGUUCUGCUGGAACUGAGGCAAGCACGGCAGGCUGCCAAAGGCUUCCAGGCUUUGACGACCCCCCCCAAUCCAUCCAUCCCCUGAGGGAGCCUUAGAUGUUGGAUUCCUGCCAGCCCUAUAAGCUGCGAUUCCCAACAAGCUAUUCGAGAAUUUUCUGGAUGGGAAAAAGAGGAUGUAAGGUCAAGAGCUCUGGCUCCCCAGUGAAAUGGCCAAGGCCUGUGGUUAUGAUGGGCUUUGGCUGCAGAUUCUUUGUAACAGGCCCAGAGAGAGCAAAGUUGGACACCUCACAGAUUCAUCGAGUAACAAACAGCACAGGAAGAAUUCUUCAGAGAUCAUCAGCCUGAGUAACCCCUCCUUGAUCAGAUGAGGAAACCGAGGCCCAGGGAAGAGAGGUGGGCGAUCCAGAGAGCCGAGGUUCAGGGAACUUAGGUGGUUUCCCCAAGGUCACACAGCUAAAAAGAUGGCAGACCUGGGAUUUGAAGCCAAGCCUGGAAUGAAGCUGAGCACCUCUGGAGACCCAGUGGCCACAAUGACCAGUUUCUCAGAGCAUCCCCAGGAAAGGACACUCCAGAAGCAGAGGCCUACACAAAGCCGUUUGGAGCAAGCAAGCCACAUCCCAGGUCCAGGUGGGAUUCUGGGCACCCAGGGAGGUGCUCCAUCCUCAGCCAGAGCCCCAUGGCUCCAGCCCCAGCCCCCUGAUGUUUCCAAGCUCAACAAGCCCCUCAGAGGCUGGUUCC
Molossus molossus (Pallas's mastiff bat) is the source of this 1297-nucleotide long non-coding RNA. RefSeq lists it as uncharacterized. The transcript is spliced from 6 exons. The record is from RefSeq and is a predicted model, not a curated record. NCBI's taxonomy places the organism in Eukaryota, Metazoa, Chordata, Mammalia, Chiroptera, Molossidae.